Molecule: long non-coding RNA, 1867 nt
Organism: Humulus lupulus (European hop)
Lineage: Eukaryota; Viridiplantae; Streptophyta; Magnoliopsida; Rosales; Cannabaceae
Exons: 2
Source: RefSeq, a predicted model, not a curated record
UUUUAGAUAAAUGGAUAAAAAAUUUAAAUAAUUAAUUAAAUUUUAAACAUAAAUUAUUUUGUAAAAAAUUAUUAAAUGUAAGUUAGAGUACAAAAUUAUUUAAAAAAUUGAUCAUUUUCACCAUUUUCUCUUAAUAAUGUAUGAUAUACGAGCUUCACAUAUCCACAGAACUUUUUAAAUUAAUUUAUAAAAAGUUAUUAAAACCCGAUUAUAUAUAUAUAUAUGUAUAUCGAUUAGAGAGUAUUUGUUUUUUCAUCAGUUGGUAAUAACAUUUUUUUUAAUAGGUAUCGAUCUGUAAAAAAAGAUAGUUUUUGUUGAUUAAUGUUUGUUUGUAUGUGCUCCAAUGUCACGUUUAAGGAACCGGACUUAGUUUAAGCCAACGCACACUGCAAAACUGGCCUUGUCUUAUUCACUGGUCUUCACUCUUGUGGCCACGUCUUGGGCCCUUGGCACCCUCUAACCCCCUUCUCCCAAUAAAAAAUAUAUAAAUCACUCCAUUUAUUAUUUGGACUCAUCGUAUUCCAACAAGUGAUGAUAUCCAAAAUAUAUUAAAAAAAUUGGUGAAAUAGUUUUUUUCUGGUAAUAACUUCAAUUUAUUUAUUUAUUUGUAAAAUAGUCUUCCCCAACCAUACUCAUCCAGUCUGACAUAUACUUGAAAUCAUUUUGAAAAAAAAUAUUCAAAAAAUCCCUUUUAAAGUGCCAUGAAAAAUGGGUAUAUUUUCACCUGUAACUCUUAAUGAAAACCAAAUAUAUCCACUUAUAUGCAUUGAAGAACAUUAAUGUUACAAUAAAUACAUGAAUGAAUGAAUGGCAGUUCUUUGAGCACCAAAAGUAUAUUAAAAUUUGAACAUUCAUUUAAUCAUGUUAUUGUGAUUAAGAAAAUUUAUCAUAAAAGAAUGAUUUUAUUAUUUUGAUUCAAUAUUAUAUUUGUAAUCAUAAUUUUACAAAUGUCUACAAUAUACUAGGGAUGUCCUUGUGAUUAUUUAUUUUUUACUACAGCAAAAGAAUAUAUAUAUAUAUAACACAAGUAAAAUGAAAGUUUAUAAUAAAAGAAAAAGUGGGGUUUUGAUAGGGAUCACCCUUUCCAAGGGAAUAAGUAAAAUCCAAAAGAGGGUACCUGUAAAUCCCAGGCAGCUUUGGCUGUAUCUAUGGAACUAUUUGUUAAAUACGCCUUGGCUGCCGUCUUCUCCUCGACCUGUACUACUCUACUCUCUCUUUCUCUAUGGACUUUCUCUUGUUUUAGCUACCUUCAUAGCUAUUGUCUCUCCUCACUAUAUAUCUUUAUUAAUUAACCUUUUUUAUUUUUAAAUCCACCAGUUCUGCUCUACUACCUUGUAUCUUCUAGUUCCAAACCCAUGGCCAAGAAUAUAUAUACUACUAGCUAUACAGUACUAUUAAGCACAAUUAAGCUCUCAUCAAACACACACACACACACAUAUAUAUAUAUAUAUAGAGAGAGAGAGAGAGAGAUCAUCAUGUAUGGUUAAUUAAUUUGCUGUAGCUCCUUCUCCUUUUGUGUAUAAUAGGUUUUUGCAGGGGCAUGAUCUAGGACAUUUAUGCUCGGCUAGCUAGGCCGGCUCCUUUCAUCACUUGAUAAUAUUGUACGUACAAAAAGAUGUAUGGCUGUGAAGUAAUCCUUCUGAACCGGGGCGUUUAUUAUUGUGGACCGCUUUUCAUCAUUUUUGCUUUGUCAUUAUUAAUUCUCUCCAGCUGCCAAAUAGUUACAUAUAUAUAUAUAUAUAUAUUAUAUAUCGUGCACUCAUAUAAUCAAAUAAUCGUUUAUAUGUUGUACCUAUUUAAUUUCUUCGCUUUCCUAUAUAUAUAUACGUGGAACUAAUAAAUAUAUCCUAUAAUCUUUGCUUUACAA